UGGGGAAUUUUGGACAAUGGGGGAAACCCUGAUCCAGCCAUCCCGCGUGUGCGAUGAAGGCCUCCGGGUUGUAAAGCACUUUUGGCAGGAAAGAAACGUCAUGGGUUAAUACCCCGUGAAACUGACGGUACCUGCAGAAUAAGCACCGGCUAACUACGUGCCAGCAGCCGCGGUAAAACGUAGGGUGCAAGCGUUAAUCGGAAUUACUGGGCGUAAAGCGUGCGCAGGCGGUUCGGAAAGAAAGAUGUGAAAGCCCAGCGCUCAACUUUGGAACUGCAUUUUUAACUACCGGGCUAGAGUGUGUCAGAGGGAGGUGGAAUUCCGCGUGUAGCAGUGACAUGCGUAGAUAUGCGGAGGAACACCGAUGGCGAAGGCAGCCUCCUGGGAUAACUCUGACGCUCAUGCCCGAAAGCGUGGGGAGCAAACAGG
Molecule: ribosomal RNA, 429 nt
Filed under: Acidobacteriota bacterium
Lineage: Bacteria; Pseudomonadati; Acidobacteriota
Description: Acidobacteria bacterium partial 16S ribosomal RNA
Rfam family: Bacterial small subunit ribosomal RNA
Source: RNAcentral